AACGCGAAGAACCUUACCUGGUCUUGACAUCCACGGAAGUUUUCAGAGAUGAGAAUGUGCCUUCGGGAACCGUGAGACAGGUGCUGCAUGGCUGUCGUCAGCUCGUGUUGUGAAAUGUUGGGUUAAGUCCCGCAACGAGCGCAACCCUUAUCCUUUGUUGCCAGCGGUCCGGCCGGGAACUCAAAGGAGACUGCCAGUGAUAAACUGGAGGAAGGUGGGGAUGACGUCAAGUCAUCAUGGCCCUUACGACCAGGGCUACACACGUGCUACAAUGGCGCAUACAAAGAGAAGCGACCUCGCGAGAGCAAGCGGACCUCAUAAAGUGCGUCGUAGUCCGGAUUGGAGUCUGCAACUCGACUCCAUGUAGUCGGAAUCGCUAGUAAUCGUGGAUCAGAAUGCCACGGUGAAUACGUUCCCGGGUCUUGUACACACGC
This 434-nucleotide ribosomal RNA is filed under the name uncultured Escherichia sp. RNAcentral's name for it is "bacterial SSU rRNA". It matches the Rfam family "Bacterial small subunit ribosomal RNA", at positions 958 to 1393 of the family's 1533-position model. The record is from RNAcentral. Lineage: Bacteria; Pseudomonadati; Pseudomonadota; Gammaproteobacteria; Enterobacterales; Enterobacteriaceae.